Molecule: ribosomal RNA, 465 nt
Filed under: uncultured bacterium
Lineage: Bacteria
Description: partial 16S ribosomal RNA
Rfam family: Bacterial small subunit ribosomal RNA
Source: RNAcentral
CCUACGGGGUGCUGCAGUAGGGAAUCUUCCACAAUGGGCGAAAGCCUGAUGGAGCAACGCCGCGUGGGUGAAGAAGGUCUUCGGAUCGUAAAACCCUGUUGUUAGAGAAGAAAGUGCGUGAGAGUAACUGUUCACGUUUCGACGGUAUCUAACCAGAAAGCCACGGCUAACUACGUGCCAGCAGCCGCGGUAAUACGUAGGUGGCAAGCGUUAUCCGGAUUUAUUGGGCGUAAAGGGAACGCAGGCGGUCUUUUAAGUCUGAUGUGAAAGCCUUCGGCUUAACCGGAGUAGUGCAUUGGAAACUGGGAGACUGGAGUGCAGAAGAGGAGAGUGGAACUCCAUGUGUAGCGGUGAAAUGCGUAGAUAUAUGGAAGAACACCAGUGGCGAAAGCGGCUCUCUGGUCUGUAACUGACGCUGAGGUUCGAAAGCGUGGGUAGCAAACAGGAUUAGAUACCCUGGUAGUC